This 242-nucleotide unclassified non-coding RNA is filed under the name Hevea brasiliensis (rubber tree). The record is from RNAcentral. Lineage: Eukaryota; Viridiplantae; Streptophyta; Magnoliopsida; Malpighiales; Euphorbiaceae.
CAAUGCGUUCUCUUCCUAUGGCCAAAUCCUCGACUCGAUCGUGAUGCGCGACCGUGAUACCGGCCGCUCCCGCGGCUUCGGCUUCGUUACCUUCAGCUCCGGCCAGGAGGCCCAGAACGCCAUCGCCAGCCUCAACGAGCAGGAGCUUGAUGGCCGCCGCAUCAAGGUUAACUUGGCCAACGCCCGCGGCUCCGGCGGAGGCGGUGGUGGCUACGGUGGUGGAGGCUACCAGUCCGGUGGAG